This 1272-nucleotide unclassified non-coding RNA is filed under the name Leishmania donovani. RNAcentral's name for it is "gene:LdHU3.32.4760(CDS-product:hypothetical_prote in_conserved)". Lineage: Eukaryota; Euglenozoa; Kinetoplastea; Trypanosomatida; Trypanosomatidae. The record is from RNAcentral.
AUCCAGAGAAUCAGCGACGACUAGCGGCCCCCCUCUUAUCCUCUGAGCGGGUACAGACGUCAGAUGAGCGUACCUUCGCUGCAUCGAAGCGACCGCAGCGGCGAUCCUACUCGGGACCGCGCCCACUAUGUGAGGGCGCAGCGGCAGCACCUUGUGCGCGAGACACGAAUGCUACAGAUGGCGCUGGAGGAGCUGCAGGAGGAAGCGGAGCGGGCAAACAGCGAAGAAGCGUUGGUGCGCCGUGCAAUAGACACGACGCAUCGCGAGCUGCUGCGGUGCCUUCUUCAUCUUGCCUUAACUGAGCAGGAUUCAACGAGAGGCACAGUGGCGGCAUCCGGCGCACAAGCGCAGUACGACGCAACAAGCGCCAUCAUCUGUGAGGUAUUGCGGAGGUAUAAGCGCGAUCAAGACGCAUUCACGCAGGAGGCCAAGCAGCGCUUGGAGAGUAUCAGAGAAGAAGCGCGACAGGCGUGCGUGAACGUCGGCGACACCCUCGCCGUGCCACAAGGUGAGCAUGCUCACAGCAGUGGUGUCGGCACCAUUGUAGAAGCAACUGAACUCGACUCCCCUCGCAGUGCCUUGGAGGCGCUGCGCGAGAUGAAGGCCGAGGUGGACGAGGAGACGGAGGCCACGCUGCUGAGCAUCGGCCGCACGCUGUUUUGCUGACUCCCGCGUUGUCCGUCUUCUUUCAAUUUGCCUCUGAUAUACUCUCCCCUUCCACUUCCCCCACUAAGAGGACGGCGGCACACCCGAAGUGACGGGUGGGGGGGGUGUGCAGGGAGGCCGUUGCUCCUGCUAGGAAGGAGGUCCGGUGAAUGGACUGCACACGCACUCACAUAUGCGAGGCCCGAGGCGACGCGGCCUGUCUGUCUGCUCCCUCCUUACGCGAUCACUGUUGUUUUCCUGGAUCCUUUCCCUAUAAAAAAAAACAAUGGAGAAUGAAAUGAGGUAUGCUGCUACUGCCCAAACGCAUGAGCGCGCCUGCGCGACAAACUGCGCUGUGCUGCUGUCCUCGUCGCCCUUCUUUUCGUCGCCGACGAGAUGCAUUUUUUCCCUCUCUGCCAUGGACGCAGACGGGAGUGCAUAUCUACUCCCGCCCGCCCGCCUCUUCUCCCCCCUUCGCUUCUCUGGUCACGGCACACAAUGGGGCUUUCGUUUGCACGCACGAUGCACCCAUCACCUCUCUACAUGGUCUUGCACGCGUCUCACUCUCAUCUCUCGCUCUCCCCCACCACUAUUACGACGACUGCUGCACCCACUGUCGCGGCGAAG